GGAAUGCUCAGAAAGCAGAUAAAUUUUGGAACAUUGUCGAAGAAAAAUAUUACAUAAUGAUGGAGGUCAAACUGUAUCGACCGAAAUACCAAAUGACUACAAGGUGGGAGGAUUUGAACUUGAAAAUGUCAAACUUUUCCAACAUCUACUACAAACUUAUCGUCGAUCCGAAAAAACAGGGAUAAUCUGUGAUUUUCAAGAAAGCUCUAGGUGUAUACUGUUUGACAACAAUGGGUUGCCUUUUUGCAAAUAGAACCUCAUAAUAUCGUUAAAAGCUUGCCAAAGUGGAAACAAGACCUUAAUCUUCACCCUAAGCCACCUUCGAAACGAAGCAAAACUUUUCGCACUCCACCAACCAUCAUAGUCACUCAAAAGAUUUUGAUGGAGAAAGAGAACCGCAACACCCUAUCAGAGGGAUAAACAAAGAAAAGCCGCAAGAAAGCCAACAUCAUCAUCAAAAAGUUCGAUUUUAUCAGAAGAAAUGUUUAAUGAAAUUUCACGCCAACAUAAACUUGUUCGCUGAUACUUACAAAAACCAAUUGGAAUUCAAAAAACACAAGUAUGAAAACAAAAAUUAGAGCACCAAAGAAAAAGGAAGAGAGCACCAAAACUCCAAAAGGACCUCUAGAAAGCUCAAAUGGCGAUUCAAGCCAUUCAAUUGCAACUCAAAUGGCCAUUCAAGCUCUUCAAUUUGAAGUUGCAAGACAAUACCAAAUUACCAAUGCGGUGGAUAUAAUCAUUUUCAUAUUUCUUAUUUUGUAUUUUGCAUUUACAUUUAAGCUACAUAAAUAUUGUCUCAAUAGAAAACUAACAAACAGUUGAAAACAAGACUCUAUCUUCCAGACCAUAGAGUUUCAUUAAACAGGCGGAAAUAAAACAAAGGAGUCUUACUUAAGCGAAUGCACAACCUUCUCCAUCAUUACUAGAUAAAAUGGUAACAAAGACCUGGAAAAAAAAAGAAAAAAAAAACUGUGGCUUGUUUGAAAAUAACCACAGCAAUCAUCAAAUUCUUAAAAACAAAUUAGUAACCUUUGAUGUUGAGGUCAAUACGUUAAAUGAAAUGACAAUGGCAUCGAUUGUUAAAAAAAAUGAACACUGAAUGUCUACACCAUUAGCAUUAUGAUCAAGUGGAACGAAAAAUUCCCGCACCAACAAAGGAUUUGCAGUCCUUCACUAUGACUUCAACGGAUUAGUUAGACCGAAUGCUUGCACCUUUAGUACGCUGUUACAUGGACUUUGUUUAGAACACCGAGUCCUCAAGGCAGAAAGAUUAUUCAAGAAGCUGGUCAAAGAGGUUAAUCAUGUACAGGAUCAUGAUUACAGGCUUUGCAAUUUUGGCGAAAAUGAUAUAAUAUGUCCACGGUUUGCUUAAAAUGAUGGUUGGAACUUGUUAUAAACCUCAUGUGGUCACAUAAAGUACCAUCAUUGAUCAGAGAUUGUCACUUACAGCUAUAUGUUUCAUGACCUUUGUAUCUUAUAUCGUUGGAAUUACAUUUCUAAAAUGCUCAAAGAAAAAGAGAACAAUGGGAUCUCCUUUGAUGUAAACACUUAUUAACACUUUUGCAAUAAAAAAAUUUGUAAGAUGCAAAGGUUGGUAUCUAAGUGGAAAGAUUUCUAAUGUCAUAGCAUGGUGUUUACUUAUUGAUGACUAUUUUUACAAUGAAAAAUGAAAAGGCAAGAAGUUUUGGAUUAGAUGAGGUUAAAGGCAUGACCCCUAAUAUUAUCACUUACAAUAGUUUAUUAAACAAGUAGUGUAAGUAACAACAUCAAGUGAAAUGCCUCAUUUAAUGAAAAAACUUCUAUUGCUUAUUCAUUACAUGCUUUAACAAUACCCGGCAAUAAAUAAUCUUUUACUUGAUAAAACCAUUUACAUUUCCUUGCAAAUUUCAUAGAGUAAUAUGUUAAAGUUGUGCACAAUUAAGGAGAUCUCAUUGUCCUCCAUUUACUUGAAGAAUUUACAGAUAUAAUUCCAACAAAAUAACAUGCAAAGGCCAUUAAGCAUAUGGCUAUAGGUGCAGCCAUUUUCCUUAAUCAUAUAUAUAAUAUAUAACCACAUCAAUCUUAUAAUACCUUCCAACCAUUAGUUUAAGAAAAUCAAUCGCCAUAUUUUUCUCACUAAAAAAAAAAAC
This 2129-nucleotide long non-coding RNA is filed under the name Lactuca sativa (garden lettuce). RNAcentral's name for it is "long non-coding RNA (LSAT_LNC002859)". Lineage: Eukaryota; Viridiplantae; Streptophyta; Magnoliopsida; Asterales; Asteraceae. The record is from RNAcentral.